Long non-coding RNA from Trifolium pratense (red clover), 292 nucleotides. RefSeq lists it as uncharacterized. The record is from RefSeq and is a predicted model, not a curated record. The transcript has 3 exons. NCBI's taxonomy places the organism in Eukaryota, Viridiplantae, Streptophyta, Magnoliopsida, Fabales, Fabaceae.
AUUCAGUUUCACUUUUGUUCUCCUAUUUUUAUCAUGCUCUUUAGUCCUCUCAAAUUUCCGCUCUCAUCCUGUGUUUGUAGAAUAUAUGCAGUGAUCCUUGUGCUUAUGUUUGACUAGAGAACUGAACAUUAUUUAUUGAAGAUCAUCACCUAUAGUGAAAGAAAGCUUAGAAUGAGUGGGUGCUAGUUGAACGGGAUCUUCAUGAUGAAAUAAGAGCUCAUAGCAUGACCUUUUUUAUUAGCUUUGGACAUUGAAAGGUAAAUGUAAAUAUCACUGUAAGUGUUAUUUGAGU